Molecule: non-coding RNA, 438 nt
Organism: Acanthopagrus latus (yellowfin seabream)
Lineage: Eukaryota; Metazoa; Chordata; Actinopteri; Spariformes; Sparidae
Source: the annotation of a RefSeq genome assembly
AUGAUGGACUAUAGGACAGGACUGCUGCUGUUAACUGUCUGCUGGGCAGGUGUUGAUGGUCAGACUCUGACAGAAUCUGAACCAGUGGUUAAAAGGCCUGGAGAAUCUCACAGAUUGACCUGUACAGCCUCUGGAUUCACAUUCAGCAGCUACAGGAUGAACUGGGUCAGACAGGCUCCUGGAAAAGGACUGGAGUGGAUCGCUUAUAUCAGUCAACCCAGUGGUGACACCCAGUACUACCCUCAGUCAGUCAAAGGCCGGUUUACCAUCUCCAGAGACAACAGCAGACAGCAGGUGUAUCUGCAGAUGAGCAGUCUGAAGACUGAAGAUUCUGCUGUUUAUUAUUGUGCUCGACAGCCACAGUGACUGGAGUUGGUUGAGCAGCUGUACAAAAACCUAUGGUACACGUCUUUAUUGGACUGAAGGAGCCCAAGCAUG